This is a long non-coding RNA of Cyprinus carpio (common carp), 1356 nucleotides long. The record is from Ensembl. Lineage: Eukaryota; Metazoa; Chordata; Actinopteri; Cypriniformes; Cyprinidae.
UUUCAUUUUUAUACUUUUUAGUUGGCCAAGAUUUCUAAAAAUCCUUUCUUUGUAUUGGUCUUAAGUUAUAUUCUAAUUUUCUGAGAUACUGAAUUUGGGAUUUUCCUUAGUUGUCAGUUAUAAUCAUCAAAAUUAAAAGAAAUAAACAUUUUAAAUAUAUCAGUCUGUGUGUAAUGAAUGAAUAUAAUAUACAAGUUUCACUUUUUGAAUGGAAUUAAUUAAAUAAAUCAACUUUUUGAUGAUAUUCUAAUUAUAUGACCAGCACCUGUAUUUUUAAUCUUAAUUACACGAUUUGCUCAUUUAUUAAUCUAAUUAGUCGCAAAUAACCAUUUAUCAAUAUUUGCUGAGAAAAAAACUCUAAAUGCCCCGAAUAAACAAUUAAAAUUUUAGUUAUCAUUUUAGACAGUGAUGUUGAAUAGACAACACAAAGAAGUGGCCUUUCAAAAUGUUAAUGUUGUAUGUUUUAAUUCUAUGACUCUCCUUAUUAAUUUAACAGAUUAUUGUAUUUUGUUUGUGUUCUUCUGAUGAACACAAGCAAAGAUUGUUAGUCCAUAAAAUGCAAGGGGACAGGACCACUUCAGGGUAAUUUUGACUUGGCGGAAAUAUUUAACAGUAUAUUUUUGUAUUGCUCUAACCUUGCUGUAGCCUGACAGUAAUACACAGGGCAAUAAUACAGGAUUGCUGUAAAUAGCGCGCCACCUGAUGUCACAUCACUGACAACACAGCUGCUGCUGACCGGAGACAGAAGCAGAACAGAGGAUUUAUCCAAGUUCGUGACCAUAGAGGAGGAAAAAACUAAACUACAGUACCUCGGGAGCAUCAUCUCGCUAGACAAACAGAUUUCAGCAAAGCCAGCCAAUCUCUUGGUCGCCUGUGUACAGACAUCAAGCUGGAACAUCAAGUUGGCAACCAAGAUGAGGGUGUACAGGGCUGUUGUGCUCACUCGUCCUCCUUAUGGCUGAAGACCUGGACCUGAAACAACUAUCAAUCAUGGGCAUCAAAUGGCAGGACAGGGUGCCAGGUUUUGGACAGACCUGGUCUGGUUAGCAUCGAUGCGAUGAUCAUGAAGGACCUGCUUUGUUGGACAGGCCAUGUUAUACAAAUGGACAGUUUCUGUAUCCCACAUCAGAUUCUCUGCUGUCUCAAAAGAAGUGCAGGGACUGUAUCAAAGAAAGUCUAAAGUACCUUGAUUUCUCUGAUUUCCCCCCAGAACUGGAAUCCAGAGCUGAGUGUGUAGCAAUCAACCAGACCUAUAGAAAAAGUAGAAAAUCCAAACAAUGUCGAUGAGAAACUGUCAUGGCUGCAAAGCAAUGCAGGAAGAAAUCUAAAACAACCAGCAAUUGGAAGAGCAUGCUU